AGGGUGUAAACGCUGCAGACUUGGUGUUGGAGGCCCUUUGGGGGCAUUCAGUGCCGGAGAGAAGUUGUUAAGUCUGCUACUUGGGGAGUACGUCCGCAAGGAUGAAACUUAAAGGAAUUGGCGGAGGAGCACCGCAACGGGAGGAGCGUGCGGUUUAAUUGGAUUCAACACCGUAAAACUCACCAGGGAAGACUGUUACAUGAAGGCCGAGCUAAAGACUCUGCUAGAUUUUCAGAGAGGUGGUGCAUGGCGUCAGUGACU
RNAcentral lists this ribosomal RNA (261 nucleotides) under uncultured archaeon. RNAcentral describes it as "partial 16S ribosomal RNA". It matches the Rfam family "Archaeal small subunit ribosomal RNA", at positions 748 to 1008 of the family's 1478-position model. The record is from RNAcentral.